GAUGAAGAACGCAGCAAAAUGCGAUAAGUAAUGUGAAUUGCAGAAUUCAGUGAAUCAUCGAAUCUUUGAACGCACAUUGCGCCCGCCAGUAUUCUGGCGGGCAUGCCUGUUCGAGCGUCAUUUCAACCAUCAAGCCCUGCUUGCGUUGGGGUCCUGCGGCUGCCCGCAGGCCCUGAAAACCAGUGGCGGGCUCGCUAGUCACACCGAGCGCAGUAAUACAUCUCGCUUUGGGCGUGCGGCGGGUUCUUGCCGUUAAACACCCCCUUUUUACCAAGGUUGACCUCGGAUCAGGUAGGAAUACCCGCUGAACUUAAGCAUAUCAAUAAGCGGAGGA
This 334-nucleotide unclassified non-coding RNA is filed under the name soil metagenome. Its description in RNAcentral is "partial contains 5.8S ribosomal RNA, internal transcribed spacer 2, and large subunit ribosomal RNA". The stretch from base 1 to 120 matches the Rfam family "5.8S ribosomal RNA", at positions 35 to 154 of the family's 154-position model. The record is from RNAcentral.